UCUUUCAGUUGGAAAGUCGAAACAGACGAUCAUAUACAACAACUAUUAAACGAAAAACCGAACAAAUAUGAAGACCAUAUCAAUUAUGUUCAUUCUGGCUGCGUUUGUGUGCAGCACAAUAUCAUCACCUAUUGAUAAAGCAGAACCUGAGAGCCCCGUAGAGAUCAACAUGACUCCAGUACAGAUUGUGAUCAAUCCAACUCAGACUCUGUUCUGUACAAACUCAUGGUGUCACAAUAUAUGUGUACAACUUGGAACAAGGACCGGUUACUGUAAUGCUCAAAAUCAAUGCCAGUGCACUUUUUAAUGGAUCUAGGAUCUGGAUAAUAAAAUUAUAAGAUUUAAGCUUUAACUAAAUUAAGUACACAAUUAAAUAUUACAAACCACAAUCAAUAAAUAAAUACAUUUAUA
Molecule: long non-coding RNA, 411 nt
Organism: Leptidea sinapis
Lineage: Eukaryota; Metazoa; Arthropoda; Insecta; Lepidoptera; Pieridae
Exons: 2
Source: RefSeq, a predicted model, not a curated record